AAUAAGGUUACAAAAAUCUUUAUAAAUGAGCUUGGAGAUAUACCCCAAAUUUGAGAACCAACAGACAAACACAACAGCAGCAACAACAUAAAUUCAUCAAGAAAUUGAUUUCCCCCAAAUAGCAAAUUUGUUUAUUUUUGUGGUAAAGAUGCAAUUUUUUCUAAUAUCAAAGGGGGACAAUACAAAAACAAAACAAAGGUGGACACUUUUCAGAGACAUUGUUUCUUAAGGUACCCACCCACUUCACAAAAACAAGAACAAGAACAAGAAACAUAAGAAGAAGCUUAACGGUUGUGGUGCUUCGAAAAAAAGUCACAUUUAUUCAAUUCAACAUUGGGAAAUCUGAGACCCAAUUUCAAUUUCAAAUCAAAUACUCAAUCGAAAGGGUUACUUAUUAAUUCAAAGUUAUCUCAGCUUGUAUAUAUAUAUACAACUUUUUCUCUUAUGAGAUAGCUUCAGAGCUAUUAAAAGUUCAGAUCUUUAACCAAAUUUUCUCUUCAAUUUCAGGGGUCAUACAUAAAUAGAUUAAUAUGCGGGAUACCGAGAAGUUAAAUAAAAGAGGUUUUGCAAAAUCCAAUAACUCAAAGGAACAUAUUGAGUCAAAGGUAGAUUCAUUCGGAUUCAAAAAAAGUAGCACAAAAAAACGAGGGAAGAAACACAAGCUGACAUCAAAAUCUCAACAACUCAGAGGUUACACAAAUGCAUCGGGGAGAACCGCUACUAAUUCUUCCAUCAAGGCGCCAAGCAAGGAUCCUUCGAAUAAAAGAUUGAUUAUUAGACAAAAUCUACAUAAAACCGAUAAGAACUCUUCACAAGUUCAGCCUUCAAAAAAGAUACAAGGAGGACAGAUUUCUUAUAGUAGUUAUAGGAAAGGUGAGAAAGACGUUGAUCAGGUGAAAAAUACUCAAAAACGUAAGAGAAGGAGAAAGAAGAAAAGGCAAAGACAUAAUGUAGAUCUUGACGAUACUUCACGGCUUCAGAGAAGAACAAGGAAUCUCUUAAUCAGAAUGAAGCUUGAGCAAAACCUCAUUGAUGCUUACUCUGGAGAAGGUUGGAAAGGUCAGAGUCGAGAGAAGAUUAGGCCAGAAAUGGAGCUACAAAGAGCAAAGAAGCAGAUUUUAAAAUGCAAGCUUAGUAUCCGCGAUGCCAUUCGCCAGCUGGAUUCUCUUAGUUCAGUUGGUAGCAUUGAAGGUUCUGUCAUUGCUAAUGAUGGAUCUGUUUAUCAUGAACAUAUAUUCUGUGCGAAUUGCAAGAUGCGUGAAGCUUUUCCAGAUAAUGAUAUUAUACUAUGUGAUGGCUCAUGCAAUCGUGCUUUUCACCAGAAAUGUCUUGAUCCUCCUUUGGAUACCGAAAACAUUCCUCCUGGAGACCAAGGCUGGUUUUGCAAGUUUUGUGAAUGCAAGAUAGAAAUACUUGAGGCAACAAAUGCUCAUCUCGGGACUCGUUUCUCCUUAGACAGUACUUGGCAGGAUGUAUUCAAGGAAGAGGCUGCUAUUCCUGAUGGCGAUACUGCAUUACUAAAUCAAGAAGAAGAAUGGCCCUCAGAUGAUCCUGAAGACGAUGACUAUAAUCCAGAGAGGAAAGAUGACAACCACGGCAUCGACACAGAAGGAAACAAUGAUAAUGUAUCUGAUAAUUCGAGUAGUUCUUCCAGUAUGUGGUCUUUAAAUGAGGAAUGUUCUUUGUUAGAUGAAGGCAUCAACCUUGAAUAUUAUUCUGGCAAUGGCCACAUAGAUUCUGAUGAAUCCGGGGAAAUAGCAUGCGGUCAUAGGCAGCGUAAAGCUGUUGACUACAAGAAACUUUAUGAUGAAAUGUUUGGAAAGGAUGCUACUCUGCAUGAACAAGUGAGCGAAGACGAAGAUUGGGGUCCUGGAAAAAGAAGGCGAAGAGAAAAGGAGUCCGAUGCGGUUAAUACUCUUAUGACUCUACAUGAGAGUAAAAAUAAACGUCCAAAUAACGAGAACAAUGAUAGAAUAAGAGAGGAUUCUUCAGGCAUACCAAUAAAAAGACCUUGUUUCAGGCUUCCACAUGAAGCAGUUGAGAAGCUUCGCCAUGUUUUCGCAGAGAAUGAGCUUCCUCCAAGAUCUGUGAAAGAAUCCCUUUCGAAAGAGUUGGGAAUUGAUGUUGCAAAGGUUAGCAAAUGGUUCAAAAAUGCACGUUACAUGGCACUUAAAACGAGAAAGAAAUUCAUAAAUUGUUUUGUUCUUGGAAUUUGCACUAUACUCUCUGACACGAGUGGAAUUUGUUCAGCAUCAAGAAGGUGGAGAAGAGCUACAAAAUUUCACCUCUAAGACCACAAAGGAUUCUACAUCACAACAUGUGGAGAAAGAUGAGAUUUUGAAACCGAAGGUCUCAAAAAUUACCGUAAUUCGUUCCGUGAAGAAUAGUGAAAAUGUUGCUUGCAAAGAGAAAACAAAGGCAUCUAGCAGUCCUUUGAAGAAAAAGCGACGAGAAAUUCCUCUACCUUUGAGAGAAAAUGGCAACAAGGACUCCAAUGAGGUGAGUGAUGAUGUUAGCUUGAUGAAACUGUUGAAAGAAAGGAAAAAGAAAGUAAGUUUUGCAUUUGAAGGAGACUCUGAGGCAGCAGAGUUGGAAUUUGAAAGACUGAGCAAAGUGAAGAUGAAAUUAGAUAGAUUGAAGCAAAAAAUAACUCAAGUUCAAAAUUACAAUUCAAAGGGUUCAAAUGAACUUUAUGUGAAUGAGCCAUCUAUUAUUUAUGUACCUACAGCUGAGUUAAGGGAAAAGGUUAAAUAGAAAACUAUAUAUAGAAUUUGUAUUUUAUUUUUUAACAUUUUUGCACAUCAGAGUAAGACAUUAAUUAAUAUAUAGCUGUUAGUUUUAUAUUUACCAGCCUUACCUUGUAGAAUUAAAUGAAGUAACCGUUUUGAAGUUAUA
Cicer arietinum (chickpea) is the source of this 2895-nucleotide non-coding RNA. NCBI's taxonomy places the organism in Eukaryota, Viridiplantae, Streptophyta, Magnoliopsida, Fabales, Fabaceae. The record is from RefSeq and is a predicted model, not a curated record.